AAGUCGAACGGUAACAGGUCUUCGGAUGCUGACGAGUGGCGAACGGGUGAGUAAUACAUCGGAACGUGCCUAGUAGUGGGGGAUAACUACUCGAAAGAGUAGCUAAUACCGCAUGAGAUCUACGGAUGAAAGCAGGGGACCUUCGGGCCUUGUGCUACUAGAGCGGCUGAUGGCAGAUUAGGUAGUUGGUGGGGUAAAGGCUUACCAAGCCUGCGAUCUGUAGCUGGUCUGAGAGGACGACCAGCCACACUGGGACUGAGACACGGCCCAGACUCCUACGGGAGGCAGCAGUGGGGAAUUUUGGACAAUGGGCGAAAGCCUGAUCCAGCAAUGCCGCGUGCAGGAUGAAGGCCCUCGGGUUGUAAACUGCUUUUGUACGGAACGAAAAGCCUGGGGCUAAUAUCCCCGGGUCAUGACGGUACCGUAAGAAUAAGCACCGGCUAACUACGUGCCAGCAGCCGCGGUAAUACGUAGGGUGCAAGCGUUAAUCGGAAUUACUGGGCGUAAAGCGUGCGCAGGCGGUUUUGUAAGACAGUGGUGAAAUCCCCGGGCUCAACCUGGGGACUGCCAUUGUGACUGCAAGGCUAGAGUGCGGCAGAGGGGGAUGGAACUCCGCGUGUAGCAGUGAAAUGCGUAGAUAUGCGGAGGAACACCGAUGGC
Molecule: ribosomal RNA, 660 nt
Filed under: uncultured beta proteobacterium
Lineage: Bacteria; Pseudomonadati; Pseudomonadota; Betaproteobacteria
Description: bacterial SSU rRNA
Rfam family: Bacterial small subunit ribosomal RNA
Source: RNAcentral